Molecule: microRNA precursor, 174 nt
Filed under: Medicago truncatula (barrel medic)
Lineage: Eukaryota; Viridiplantae; Streptophyta; Magnoliopsida; Fabales; Fabaceae
Description: MIR2619 microRNA precursor family
Rfam family: MIR2619 microRNA precursor family
Source: Rfam by way of RNAcentral
AAAUCGCUCCAUAAGUUUUGCAACUGUAGCAGUUUUGGCCUCCCAAGAUCAAUUUUUGGUAAAAAAAAAAAAAAAACGUGGUAUCUCACUUAGAGUGUCACGUCAGCGUAAACCGAGUCAAAAUUGACAUUGGAGGCCAAAAUUGCCACAGAUGCAAAACUUAGAGGGCGGAUU